Molecule: small RNA, 27 nt
Filed under: Bombyx mori (domestic silkworm)
Lineage: Eukaryota; Metazoa; Arthropoda; Insecta; Lepidoptera; Bombycidae
Description: ovarian small RNA-21403
Source: RNAcentral
UACUCGGAUUGUCGACGAGACUGACGA